This 26-nucleotide transfer RNA is filed under the name Uroplatus sikorae. RNAcentral describes it as "tRNA-Tyr". The record is from RNAcentral. Lineage: Eukaryota; Metazoa; Chordata; Lepidosauria; Squamata; Gekkonidae.
UCCGUAAAUGAGACUACAGCUCACCG